UGCAGAUAGGAAGAAGAGCUGGCACCCAC
This 29-nucleotide non-coding RNA is filed under the name Mus musculus (house mouse). The record is from RNAcentral. Lineage: Eukaryota; Metazoa; Chordata; Mammalia; Rodentia; Muridae.